RNAcentral lists this ribosomal RNA (490 nucleotides) under uncultured bacterium. Its description in RNAcentral is "partial 16S ribosomal RNA". It matches the Rfam family "Bacterial small subunit ribosomal RNA", at positions 28 to 507 of the family's 1533-position model. The record is from RNAcentral.
GAUGAACGCUAGCGGCAGGCCUAAUACAUGCAAGUCGAACGGGAACCCGAUCACAGCUUGCUUUGGUCUGGUGAGAGUUGCGCAAGGGUGCGUAACGCGUGAGCAACCUACCCUUGUCAGGGGGAUAGCCCGGCGAAAGACGGAUUAAUACCGCAUGACAUCAUUGAGGGGCAUCUUUCGAUGAUCAAGGAUUUAUCGGACAAGGCUGGGCUCGCGUGACAUUAGCUCGUUGGUAAGGUGACGGCUUACCACGGCUGCGAUGUCUAGGGGCUCUGAGAGGAGCAGCCCCCAGACUGGUACUGAGACACGGACCAGACUCAUACGGGAGGCAGCAGUAAGGGAGAUUGAUCAAUGGACGGAAGUCUGAACCAGCCAUGCCGCGUGCAGGAGGACGGCCCUAGGGGUUGUAAACUGCUUUUAUACGGGAACAAACGUCGGUACGGGUACCGGUCUGAGUGUACCGUAAGAAUAAGGAUCGGCUAACUCCGUG